This 305-nucleotide long non-coding RNA is filed under the name Micromonas pusilla. RNAcentral's name for it is "long non-coding RNA (MPUS_LNC000070)". The record is from RNAcentral. Lineage: Eukaryota; Viridiplantae; Chlorophyta; Mamiellophyceae; Mamiellales; Mamiellaceae.
GGAACGUCGUGCCGGAUCCCGCGGACGAGGCCGACCCCGACGGCGCGCCGCCGUCGGAAGAGACGCGCAGAUCGCGCGCGAUGGCGCACGCCGCGGACACGACCGCUGCGCUGCUUCGCAUGGGGAUCCUCAACCGCGUGCGGUACCUCCUCGAAGUCGGCGCGCACCCGGCGGCGACGGCGCCGUGCCUCGCCGUCGUCGCCGCGUGCGCGCGGCACUCCGCCGCGGCGUGCGAGGCUGCGUUCAAGUGCCCGCGGUUGCUUCAAACGCUGACCGACAUCGCGUCCGCGCCGUUGCUGUCGAAG